Coregonus clupeaformis (lake whitefish) is the source of this 1583-nucleotide RNA transcript. RefSeq lists it as uncharacterized. NCBI's taxonomy places the organism in Eukaryota, Metazoa, Chordata, Actinopteri, Salmoniformes, Salmonidae. The record is from RefSeq and is a predicted model, not a curated record. The transcript is spliced from 4 exons.
CUCCUAAGUUUUAAUUUAUGCUCUCAGAACCAUAUUUAUAGUCAAUUCAUGCAACCUUUAGUUGUGUAUGAUGAGGGAGGUUGUUUUUGUCUCCUCCAGGAAAUCCGGAAGGUGGUUUUGAUUUAAUAGUACCCUGAGGUUUUUGCAGGACAACAUGGAAAAGGCUGAGGGGAAACUAUACCAGAGAGCAUAAUAAGAAGACCAAGAGCGGGAAUUCAAGUGUUGGACUAAAAGAUCCUGAGAUAUUACAGAAGUUGGACUGGCUCUCCCCGUUCAUAAAACACAAAACCCAACCGACCCACAUUCCAGGAGUAAAGGUUCUGUUAGUGAGAGGACAAGGAGAGACUGGAGGCAGUGGUGAGGCAUCGAUGGACAGAUUCCUCGGUCGUUUCACCCCAUUGUCCACCCCUGCAGCAGACAGCACCUUUACCCCUCCUGUAACCACACACACCAGACCUUCCAGACCCAUGUCUACCCUAACACAGUCUAGGGACGGCCCCUCUUCAUCUAAACCAAGCUCCAGCUCUACCAGUGGACCAGCACAACCAAGGAAGAGGACACAGGACAGAGUAGAUCAAGCCCACAGCAAGAACCCUAAGGUUCUGUUAGUGAGAGGACAAGGAGAGACUGGAGGCAGUGGUGAGGCAUCGAUGGACAGAUUCCUCGGUCGUUUCACCCCAUUGUCCACCCCUGCAGCAGACAGCACCUUUACCCCUUCUGUAACCACACACACCAGAACUUCCAGACCCAUGUCUACCCUAACACAGUCUAGGGACGGCCCCUCUUCAUCUAAACCAAGCUCCAGCUCUACCAGUGGACCAGCACAACCAAGGAAGAGGACACAGGACAGAGUAGAUCAAGCCGCCAGCAAGAACCCUAAGGUUAGGGUUAGGUAGUGAUGAUGGUGACGCCUUACUUGCCUGAACUGAAGUCCCAAGCUAAAUCAGAUAUACUGAAACUGCUUUCUACAAUGCAGGAAAAGCUCUCUCAGCAUCAGAGUAGCGCCAAUGUUAAUUACUGAUUAUGUUUUUCAACAUUGAACUUCCAUAAUUUAUACAUUAUAAUUCACAUCAGUAUACAUUUUAAAUAGUAGGAAAAUAUGUUCUGAAUGCUACUUCUGCAGAUUCUGCAUUAACUAGAUACUAAAGGACAAAGGCUGUGUUUACACAGGCAGCCCAAUUCUGAUCUUUUGCCACUACAUGGGCAAAAGAUCAGAAUUAGGCUGCUUGUGUAAACGUAGCAUAAGAAUCCUUCUGUACAGAUUGAAUACUUUUUGCAUACUAAUUUCAGUUACAUUUGAAUUUAUUUUGGCAAUCUUAUCCCAUUUGCCUGACCGGGGUUAUAACUGAGGUCUACUGCGCACCAAAAGACGGUGUUUGCCCUUUGAGCUAAAGCCUAGGCAUUAGUUCAGGGAGCCUCAACGGCUGGUAGUUAGACUACAUGUUGAAUUGUAAAAGAUGUUGCACAUCGUCUACAUAUAUAAAUAAAUAACGCUUGCAAACAUUAUUUUCUUUACUCUUGCCUGUCAUGCAUGCUAAUAUAAAAAACUAUAGUUUUCCAAAAUAAAAUGUCAAAAAAUUGUC